Molecule: ribosomal RNA, 499 nt
Filed under: uncultured bacterium
Lineage: Bacteria
Description: partial 16S ribosomal RNA
Rfam family: Bacterial small subunit ribosomal RNA
Source: RNAcentral
GACGAACGCUGGCGGCGUGCCUAAUACAUGCAAGUCGUGCGGACCUUUUAAAAGCUUGCUUUUAAAAGGUUAGCGGCGGACGGGUGAGUAACACGUGGGCAACCUGCCUGUAAGACUGGGAUAACGCCGGGAAACCGGGGCUAAUACCAGAUCGUUUUUUCCUCCGCAUGGAGGAAAAAGGAAAGGCGGCUUCGGCUGCCACUUACAGAUGGGCCCGCGGCGCAUUAGCUAGUUGGCGGGGUAACGGCCCACCAAGGCAACGAUGCGUAGCCGACCUGAGAGGGUGAUCGGACACAUUGGGCCUGGGACACGGCCCAAACUCCUACAGGAGGCAGCAGUAGGGGAUCUUUCGCAAUGGACGAAAGUCUGACGGGGCAACGCCGCGUGAGUGAAGAAGGCCUUCGGGUCGUAAAACUCUGUUGCCGGGGAAGAACAAGUGCCGUUCGAACAGGGCGGCGCCUUGACGGUACCCGGCCAGAAAGCCACGGCUAACUACGUG